GCCCCUACGUACUACGUCAUGACGCUAAGUACGUAGGGCAAAUCUCCGCAAGACCACACUCCUGCGCAGAGACGGCCGGAUCACGUGAAGCGUCCGUGGCGGCCCAACCCUGGCAGAGGGUGCUGGCGCUUCCUGCUGGACGGAGGGAGUUUCUGCAAUCAGAAUUAUCUUUUCAGGACAAAGCUUGGACCUGAGACCUUUCCAAGAAGUCUUGAAUUGACCACGUUUACAAGUUGAUAAAACAGAAAGUCUCCGGUGUGCCAGCAUGGACCCAAGAUGGAGUCUCACUCUGUUGUCCAGGUGGCGUGAUCUCGGCUUACUGCAACCUUCACCUCCCAGGUUCGAGCGAUUCUCCUGCCUCAGCCUCCCGAGUAGUUGGCAUUACACAAAGGCGCCACCACGCCCAGCUAAUUGUUAUAUUUUUAGUUGAGAUGGGGUUUCGCCAUGUUGGCCAGACUGGUCUCAAACUCCUGACCGCAUGUGAGUCACCUGCCUCAGCCUCCCAAAGUGCUGGGAUUACAGGUGUGAGCCACUGUGCCUGGCCCCGCUGAGUGCAUUUUCUGUGUAGCCAAACCUACUCAGGAAACCAAGCCAUUAUCAGAAGGUUGCUUGAUGAGCACGUAUUCUGAACAAGUGGAGUUAUAUGUAUAGACUUUUCUUGAGUCAUCUAUCUUCGCAACAGGACAAUUUUGUCCCGAAAAUAGAAGUUCUCCAUUUCCAAUGGCUGCAGUUUUCCACAUUGAUCUCCAAUGUAGUGGGGACAUCCUGCUGAGCUAUUGAUUUGUGCUCCUUGUCUCCUUAGCAGCACUUGGAUGGCCACUGGCCCUAAAGUGCCCCCUGUACGUUACUUUCUCUGUUUCCAUGGCUACCCAAACCUCUUUGCAAUAUUAUUUCAAUAAAAAUCAAGUUACAGUUAAAUCAAA
Symphalangus syndactylus (siamang) is the source of this 923-nucleotide long non-coding RNA. RefSeq lists it as uncharacterized. The record is from RefSeq and is a predicted model, not a curated record. Lineage: Eukaryota; Metazoa; Chordata; Mammalia; Primates; Hylobatidae.